Molecule: long non-coding RNA, 2091 nt
Organism: Esox lucius (northern pike)
Lineage: Eukaryota; Metazoa; Chordata; Actinopteri; Esociformes; Esocidae
Exons: 13
Source: RefSeq, a predicted model, not a curated record
ACAGUAACAGUCUCUGAAAAAUGACAUUGUUCAUCCCAGAUAUGGCAGCUGGACAUUUCAUUUUGUUCAUCUUUCUUUUCUAUGCCUUCCAGCCCAUCAAAGCCAAAGACCUUCCUCAGCCCAGUCUGACAGUGAUUCCUACAGUCAUCAGAGAGAGAGGCUCUGUUCAGGUGAUCUGUGCAACUCCUUCAUCUCUCUCUGAGUCUGAGUGUUACUUCAAAUUUGAGGGGCAAGUUGAGUUUACCCUACCAGCAGCCUGUCAACAGACACUCAGAGUCACAGGAAAUCAUCUGUUACGGUGGACAGGUCGAAGUUCACCUGCUGUGGUCAAAAUACAAUGUCAAUACAGUAACACAAGCUUUCAGUUUAGAUCCAUAUUCAGUGACCCAUCUACAGUCACAAUUGAGGAUCAUCCUCAGCUGACAGUGAUUCCUACAGUCAUCAGAAAGAGAGACUCAGUUCAGCUGAUCUGUGAGACUCCUCCAUCUGUCUAUGUGUCUGACUGUAUCUUCAGUGAAGUGGGGAGAUCUAGUCUGCCAGGCUCAACCUGUAAACAGACGGUCACAGGAUCUCAGCUGCUCUCUUGGACAGGUCAACCAUUACCAGCUGUGGUCCAGGUCACAUGUCACUACACUGUAGGGAUGUCUCACACAUCUCCUGUCAGUGACCCAGUUUCUGUCACUGUCCAGGGUGAACUACAGAAACCAGAGAUACAUAUGAAGGAUGAGUCUUCUGAUGUCAUCUCUAUAGACUCCCACUCUGUGUCCCCACACAGUGAUGGAUACAACUUACCAGAUCUGCCGGGAGAUCUCAUGAUCAGUGAUCCAACAACUAAACAGACAUCUUCUACAGCAGGUUCGACAGUAAGUUCUCAUUUGACCUCCAAAAUCUCUGUGAGACCAAUUACCAGAUCAACCACUGCUAUCACGCCAGCAACUUCAUCAGGGAAACUAUUAUGGCUGGGUGUGGCUUCUGGAGUGGGCAUGUUCUUGGUUGGAUUGACAGCUGUCUGUCUCUGCAGGAGGACCAAGAACAAAUAUUCUCAGAGAUCUCAAGCCCAACAGGAUGAACAUAACCAAGGUCCUGCUGAAGAGAACGGACAAUCAACUGUAAAUAGCAAUUCUGGUACAUACCACAUUUACAGCUCCAUCCGAGACAGACCAGCAACCUCAGCGCAGACAGUUGAGUUGUACAGUCUACUGCAGACGCAAGUCUAACAUAAGUCUUUUAUUCUUUUAUUCACUUUACUUGAAAUUAACACUGACACUUGACUUUUGUUACAUAUCCAUUUUGGUGUGUAACCCAAUAAUAACAAAAAGGAAGAAAAAUCUAAUGUGUGUUCUUGAAUUUGUUUUAAAUAAAUAUAUUGUUUAAUAUACACCCUAGUUCAUUAUAAUAUUUUGCAACAUUAAGAUAUAUAUUUUUUAACAUAAGUGUCAGGAGCAGUAAUACUGGUUGUGAUUGGUGAAUGUGUCCUAAGAACGGGGGUGGAGAUCGCGAGAGAAAAGAUGGUUAGAUGAAGGAAGCGUGCUCGGAAAAUUUGGGUUGUCCUGUCGAAAGAUAUUUCUGUAUACUGUGUGUUUUACCUCCCAAUAAAUUGUCUAAACGAUAGGCUGUCAAGGGACAAGCAAGCCCCCAUAUUAAUUUAAAUAGCUUGAUGUCUACUCGAUGUUUAAGGUGUUUGUUUACCACACGUAUUCCGCUAGCUUGCUCAUUAGCAUUAGCAUAGAUAAUACUAAACAGUAUCAGAAGAAUAGCACCGCUGACUACUACGACGUGGGACGCAAAUAACCAGAUAUCGCUCUGAGCCAGACCUGGAUGCUCGGAGUUCCGCUGGCGCCGCUGGAUCCGGAUAUGAAUCAACGACGUAAUCCUUCGUUUUCUAUGGCCAGCAACCAGAGAACCAGUAUAUACUGACGGGACUUCAUUGAGGUACUGGAUAGUUUUGUUUUAUUUGCUCAUGAGAGUGAAGUGACCAAACAGCUUUGGGUCUCAACGUAGGCAAGCAUCGUCCUGGGCCUACAUCGUGGUUUUACAUUGGCCAGUCCACCAUAUAUGCUUGUGAAUGCAUACAUUUUUGUGAUAAUUUGC